RNAcentral lists this long non-coding RNA (922 nucleotides) under Malus domestica (apple). RNAcentral's name for it is "long non-coding RNA (MDOM_LNC016973)". Lineage: Eukaryota; Viridiplantae; Streptophyta; Magnoliopsida; Rosales; Rosaceae. The record is from RNAcentral.
UGGUUUUCAACAUUUAGUACAUCAAUUUUUUUUCAUCCCAGAGUCAUACCUAAAGUGUUAAUUUUGGGACAGUCUCAUACAUCCAUUAAGUUUUCUGUUAGAACUUCUGUUAAUUGAUGACGUGGCGCCCACGUGGACAAUUAUUGGGCACCACGUGUCAAUUUGGGCCCACUUCAAUAUUAAAAAAAUUAAAAAAAUAAAAAUACAAAAAAAAGAAAAAAAAAAAAGAAAAGAACAAACAUCUGUCUCCUCCCUCAUCCCUCGCACCCUCUCCCUCCCUUCUCUCUUCUGCAACCCGCACCCCUUCCCUCCAUUCUCUUUUCUGCACCUGCACUACCCUCCCUUCUCUCCUCUACAACCCGUACCCAUCAUCUCCGCACACCCAACCCAACAAAAUCCCACCCAAAGAAAUUCUAUUUCAACAAGAAUUUGGUAUUUUCAAGUAUGGAUCUUCUCUUUGUGAACCAAGGAGAAAAACCCAGAAAAAGCCUCUCUCGCGACCCCUAUUCCAUGAAAAGAGAAGAAGUUAAAUUAGAAUCGUUCUUCAAUCCAUCUUACCCACCUCUCUCUCGCUACUCAAUCUCUCUACAUCUAUCACAAUUCUCAAAUAACGAAACAAGAAGUUUAAUUAAAGCAAAUUAAGAAACAAGUGACUUCCAUCUUCAGGAAAAGCUGAAAAGUGUGGAUUGAGGUUUCAAUAAUCUUGACGAGAUCUGGGGCAUAAACCAUUAAAUCAAAUUCUUCCUCCUCUAGGCCAUUUCGAAUUGGACCAAAAAAUGCAAACUCGAAGCGGGUGGAGGAAACCCAAAUCCUCCUAAUUUUCCAGAAAAUUAUAAAGUUAAAAGAAAAAAAAUAUUCAGAUCAACUAAUAUUGGGUUUCUUUUGUGAACCCAGAAAAAUUGGGGUCUCUUUCGAGAUGAAA